RNAcentral lists this ribosomal RNA (253 nucleotides) under uncultured bacterium. RNAcentral's name for it is "partial 16S ribosomal RNA". It matches the Rfam family "Bacterial small subunit ribosomal RNA", at positions 524 to 776 of the family's 1533-position model. The record is from RNAcentral.
UACGGAGGGUGCAAGCGUUAUCCGGAUUCACUGGGUUUAAAGGGUGCGUAGGCGGGCAGGUAAGUCCGUGGUGAAAUCUCUGAGCUUAACUCAGAAACUGCCAUGGAUACUAUUUGUCUUGAAUAUUGUGGAGGUAAGCGGAAUAUGUCAUGUAGCGGUGAAAUGCUUAGAUAUGACAUAGAACACCAAUUGCGAAGGCAGAUCUCUGGGCCGUAACUGACGCUGAGGAGCGAAAGCAUGGGGAGCGAACAGG